GACGGGGGGGGCAAGUGUUCUUCGGAAUGACUGGGCGUAAAGGGCACGUAGGCGGUGAAUCGGGUUGAAAGUGAAAGUCGCCAAAAAGUGGCGGAAUGCUCUCGAAACCAAUUCACUUGAGUGAGACAGAGGAGAGUGGAAUUUCGUGUGUAGGGGUGAAAUCCGUAGAUAUUUGGAGGAACACCGGUGGCGAAGGCGGCUACCUGGAUGAGUAUUGACGCUGAGGUGCGAAAGCGUGGGGAUCAAACAGG
Molecule: ribosomal RNA, 251 nt
Filed under: uncultured bacterium
Lineage: Bacteria
Description: partial 16S ribosomal RNA
Rfam family: Bacterial small subunit ribosomal RNA
Source: RNAcentral